RNAcentral lists this ribosomal RNA (309 nucleotides) under Triticum aestivum (bread wheat). Its description in RNAcentral is "partial small subunit ribosomal RNA". The record is from RNAcentral. Lineage: Eukaryota; Viridiplantae; Streptophyta; Magnoliopsida; Poales; Poaceae.
AUGGAUUCCACGGCAGUGGCGCCGGCUUCCGGUGGAUCCCACGACCACUCCUUCAUCCAGACGGCGGCGGACCAAAAUUCACCACAAAAAACGCAGGAGCGCGGUGGUUCGAGCUCGAGCUCGUCGAGCCUAGGCCGGCCAAGCCCCACCCAUGGGUCACCAGCACGAGGUUUUCAGACACUAGGCCGAUGCUCCUCCGCUGCGCGACCUCCGGCUCACCGCGCUAGCUCCCGCUGGAUCCGUAAGCCGCGGGCCUUCACCGGAGCAGAACGCGACACCGGCGAGGACCCACCCGCCUCCACCGUGUGA